This 253-nucleotide ribosomal RNA is filed under the name uncultured bacterium. RNAcentral's name for it is "partial 16S ribosomal RNA". It matches the Rfam family "Bacterial small subunit ribosomal RNA", at positions 524 to 776 of the family's 1533-position model. The record is from RNAcentral.
UACGAAGGGGGCUAGCGUUGCUCGGAAUCACUGGGCGUAAAGGGUGCGUAGGCGGGUCUUUUAGUCAGGGGUUAAAUCCUGGAGCUCAACUCCAGAACUGCCUUUGAUACUGAAGAUCUUGAGUUCGGGAGAGGUGAGUGGAACUGCGAGUGUAGAGGUGAAAUUCGUAGAUAUUCGCAAGAACACCAGUGGCGAAGGCGGCUCACUGGCCCGAUACUGACGCUGAGGCCCGAAAGCGUGGGGAGCAAACAGG